Molecule: ribosomal RNA, 492 nt
Filed under: uncultured bacterium
Lineage: Bacteria
Description: partial 16S ribosomal RNA
Rfam family: Bacterial small subunit ribosomal RNA
Source: RNAcentral
AGUGAACGCUGGCGGUAGGCCUAACACAUGCAAGUCGAACGGCAGCACAGUAAGAGCUUGCUCUUACGGGUGGCGAGUGGCGGACGGGUGAGGAAUACAUCGGAAUCUACUUUUUCGUGGGGGAUAACGUAGGGAAACUUACGCUAAUACCGCAUACGACCUACGGGUGAAAGCAGGGGAUCUUCGGACCUUGCGCGAUUGAAUGAGCCGAUGUCGGAUUAGCUAGUUGGCGGGGUAAAGGCCCACCAAGGCGACGAUCCGUAGCUGGUCUGAGAGGAUGAUCAGCCACACUGGAACUGAGACACGGUCCAGACUCCUACGGGAGGCAGCAGUGGGGAAUCUUGGACAAUGGGCGCAAGCCUGAUCCAGCCAUACCGCGUGGGUGAAGAAGGCCUUCGGGUUGUAAAGCCCUUUUGUUGGGAAAGAAAAGCAGCAGGUUAACACCCCGCUGUUCUGACGGUACCCAAAGAAUAAGCACCGGCUAACUUCGUG